This 20-nucleotide transfer RNA is filed under the name Meloidogyne incognita (southern root-knot nematode). Its description in RNAcentral is "partial tRNA-His". Lineage: Eukaryota; Metazoa; Nematoda; Chromadorea; Rhabditida; Meloidogynidae. The record is from RNAcentral.
AAGCUAUUUAUUUUCAAUUG